This 700-nucleotide ribosomal RNA is filed under the name uncultured bacterium. Its description in RNAcentral is "bacterial SSU rRNA". It matches the Rfam family "Bacterial small subunit ribosomal RNA", at positions 790 to 1490 of the family's 1533-position model. The record is from RNAcentral.
GUAGUCCACGCUGUAAACGAUGUCGAUUUGAAGGUUGUUCCCUUGAGGAGUGGCUUUCGGAGCUAACGCGUUAAAUCGACCGCCUGGGGAGUACGGCCGCAAGGUUAAAACUCAAAUGAAUUGACGGGGGCCCGCACAAGCGGUGGAGCAUGUGGUUUAAUUCGAUGCAACGCGAAGAACCUUACCUACUCUUGACAUCCAGAGAACUUAGCAGAGAUGCUUUGGUGCCUUCGGGAACUCUGAGACAGGUGCUGCAUGGCUGUCGUCAGCUCGUGUUGUGAAAUGUUGGGUUAAGUCCCGCAACGAGCGCAACCCUUAUCCUUUGUUGCCAGCGAUUCGGUCGGGAACUCAAAGGAGACUGCCGGUGAUAAACCGGAGGAAGGUGGGGAUGACGUCAAGUCAUCAUGGCCCUUACGAGUAGGGCUACACACGUGCUACAAUGGCGUAUACAAAGAGAAGCGACCUCGCGAGAGCAAGCGGAACUCAUAAAGUACGUCGUAGUCCGGAUUGGAGUCCGCAACUCGACUCCAUGAAGUCGGAAUCGCUAGUAAUCGUAGAUCAGAAUGCUACGGUGAAUACGUUCCCGGGCCUUGUACACACCGCCCGUCACACCAUGGGAGUGGGUUGCAAAAGAAGUAGGUAGCUUAACCUUCGGGAGGGCGCUUACCACUUUGUGAUUCAUGACUGGGGUGAAGUCGUA